Molecule: ribosomal RNA, 515 nt
Filed under: uncultured bacterium
Lineage: Bacteria
Description: partial 16S ribosomal RNA
Rfam family: Bacterial small subunit ribosomal RNA
Source: RNAcentral
GAUGAACGCUGGCGGCGUGCCUAAUACAUGCAAGUCGAGCGAAUGGAUUAAGAGCUUGCUCUUAUGAAGUUAGCGGCGGACGGGUGAGUAACACGUGGGUAACCUGCCUAUAAGACUGGGAUAACUCCGGGAAACCGGGGCUAAUACCGGAUAACAUUUUGAACCGCAUGGUUCGAAAUUGAAAGGCGGCUUCGGCUGUCACUUAUGGAUGGACCCGUGUCGCAUUAGCUAGUUGGUGAGGUAACGGCCCACCAAGGCAACGAUGCGUAGCCGACCUGAGAGGGUGAUCGGCCACACUGGGACUGAGACACGGCCCAGACUCCUACGGGAGGCAGCAGUAGGGAAUCUUCCGCAAUGGACGAAAGUCUGACGGAGCAACGCCGCGUGAGUGAUGAAGGCUUUCGGGUCGUAAAACUCUGUUGUUAGGGAAGAACAAGUGCUAGUUGAAUAAGCUGGCACCUUGACGGUACCUAACCAGAAAGCCACGGCUAACUACGUGCCAGCCGCCGCCGUAA